RNA transcript from Salvia hispanica, 1968 nucleotides. It is a transcript of the gene named B3 domain-containing protein At4g01580-like, with no coding region annotated. Lineage: Eukaryota; Viridiplantae; Streptophyta; Magnoliopsida; Lamiales; Lamiaceae. The record is from RefSeq and is a predicted model, not a curated record.
CGCCGUCUCACUCAUUACAAACCCUCUUCGCCACUUUUGCAGUUCGAUGUCGACCGAUUCGCCUAAUCCCACACAACGGAUCUCAACGGCAUCUAAAAGACCAAACUUCAGCUUGGAUGGUUCUCAGAGUCAGCAAAUGGUUAACUCACACUUGAAACGAUCUCGCAAGAUGAAGAUGAAGGGAGACCGAACUAGGAGAUGUUGGACUGACAGAGAGGAUGAGGCAUUGGUUCUCGGCUUUCAAGGACCUUGUCGCAGAUAAGUGGAAGUCUGGCAAUGGUUUUCGAGGUGGCUAUCUUUCGAAGCUUGAAGAUAUCAUGAAGAGCAAGUUUCCUUUGGCAAACAUCAAGGGAACUCCACAUAUCACAUCCAAAUUUAGUGCUUGGAAAAAGCACUACGGCUCGUUGGGUAAAAUCUUGGACAGGAGUGGAGUUGGGUUUAAUGUGAAGGAUGACUACAAAAUAGAUUGUGAUGAUGAUCAGUGGGAUCAAAUUGUGAAGGUACGAUAACGAUGCUCAAAGAAGUGAAAUCGCUCGUACAACUCACGCCACGAGAAGGUGAGCCCCAGGUCAGCUGUGAUCACCACCGAAACUUGCUCGAGCACGUCGAAGGGGAUGACCAUACCAUCCCACUCAGCCAUUUUCUUCGACUUGGUGAUGACAGAGAGCAUGAGCGAGUCAACUUCGGCGGUCCAGUAUGAUUUGUAGAAGAAUGACCCUUGCCUCGGAAUGUUGGUUGCCAUUUGUAUGUGAGAUGGAAAGUGUAGAGAAUGUACAAGAAUUAAAGAUGAGCAAUGGUUAAGUAGUGAAGCUGGCGUGUUUUGCAGCAGGAGCAGGUGGUACACCCCUCAAAUCAAUUCACGGGUUGGCAAAACAAAUAGUGUUAUUCACCUCUCUUUAUACAUAGAACCUCCCACCAUCUACAUAGCAAGUAUUGAUAUCUUAUAUUGAUUUUCAUCAAAGAAAUGGCUACUCUGCCCGUGGACGCCUACCCUUCGAAUUUGAAACCUUCAUUCUGCAAAAUAAUGUUCAGCGAUGACUACGACAUCCGUUUGAGGUUCCCUCCACUAUGGUAUGCUGUUUACGGGAGGGAUCUUCCUUCCGAAUGCGAACUUCAGCUGCCAAAUGGAAUACCUUGGAAGGUUGGGAUAUCAAAAAUCAACAGGGAAAUUUAUUUCGACAAGAAUUGGCCAAGGUUUAUUCAAUACAACAAUAUCGAAAGAGGUCACACACUCGUCUUCAGCCAUCAUGGUGGGUCGGACUUCAAAGUAUUGAGGUACAUGGCUGAUGGAUGCAUGCCCGAACAAGACAUAGUAGGUAAGGUUUUCAUACCAUUCUCAAUAGCUUAGAGAUGAAGCUCGUUUGAAACCUAUUAACUUCUACAUCACUUAUGAAUAACACGAGGGUUGUUGAACACAAGACGUUACCAUCCACUGGGCGAAGAAAGCAAUGAUAGUGAUGUUGAGCCUCACUAUGACCAAUCUGGAGUUGUGUAGGCGUUGCCUGCUUUCACAUGUGUUUUGAUGUCGUCUGACUUGAAGGGUGGACCGAACUUGCCGAACAUAUGGUGGAAAACUCACAUCCAAGAUAAAGAAUCUAUUGAAUUAGUAACCUUAUGGGUAGGCAUAAAAUCGUGGGAUAUCUUUGUGAAGAUAAAAGAUGGUGACGUGUGGAUAUGUAGAGGAUGGAAGAAAUUUGCUCACAUGAAUGAGCUUGAGGUUGGAACACUAUCCAGGUUCGAGCUGCUUCCGGGACCUGCAAACACUUUCAAUGUCACAUUUCAGAGAGGUCGUCGUAAUGAUUAACUGCGUUUGUUCCAAAAAAUAUAUGCUCCGAGCGUUUCGAUGUUUUUAUUUAAUUUCGUAUAGUAUCUGCGUUUGUAUUUCGAAUAGUAUUAUUGCCCUUGUUUUUAGCUCGAUUAUGCUCUGAGCAUUUGUUAGUAUGUUAGUAUGUCACUCAUGAAGAUGCC